Molecule: long non-coding RNA, 1788 nt
Filed under: Strigops habroptila (Kakapo)
Lineage: Eukaryota; Metazoa; Chordata; Aves; Psittaciformes; Psittacidae
Description: lncRNA (ENSSHBG00005006461.1)
Source: RNAcentral
GGCCAGAUGGCUUCUUUGGCAUUCUGUCUGUGUACAGCCAGCCCUUGCCAGCCUCUGCUAACUUUUUAACUGUAAGUUCCUUAAUGAAUUAUUUCUCAUGGUCUGUAGGGCAGAGGUGUGAUUGGUGAGGUUGGGUGGGACUGGGAAAUGGCAUUGUAGGGCAGAAUGUUUUGGUUUGUUAGGGAUUUGGAGCAGAAAAAGUAAAAUGCUGCUCAAACGGUAAUAGUUAUGUUUGAUGCUGGCAUUAGAGGUCCAGCAACUCUGUGUUGAGCAGCUCCCAAGUCAGCUGCUGAAUGGUGAGAGGAUUUUUAUCCCACUGAGGGGUGGUACAGCUAGAGGACAGCCCCCCUUGGCUGGAUUAUUUGUCUGGUUCCUUUGUAGACUGUAAUGAAAUAUGAGUAUUGCACAGCUUUAAAGAUUGUCAAGUUUAUCUGUGGAGGACAGAGUAAUGCCCCGUCACAGAAGGGACACUAGGGGGGGACAUAACUAUGGCAUAUAAGUAGCAGAGAGAAAGUUCUCAACACUGAAGUGUUUCUGAUGUGGUGGAGAAAGUACAAAUCAUCUCCAAUAUCUGGCAGAUAAAGCCCAACAUCCUGAAAUUAGGAAGGUGAGUGGAUGGGAGGCAUUAACUUUUAGUGGUGAGGAUGAUUAGUCACAAGCAUAAAACUGGACUGAUACCUUCACAUCAAGACUGACAUUGUGUCUGAUCAAGACACCCAAAGAGGAGUAGUUAGGCUCAAUGGUAGGUUAAAUGGAUGAAAUAUGACAUCUUACAAUGCAUAAGAACAGACUCUGGCUUUCCUGCUAGGUUUAAAAUCUUUUGAAAUCAGGAAGCAGUAAGUAGAAGUUAUGUGGAUCGGCACAGAUGCACAAAACAGGUUGAUAAAAUAAAGCUACAUGUCGAAAGUUUAUUUCUAAGUAAGAAAGUUUGAGAAAUUCACAGUUAAGACCAGCAUCCUUUGGAGCUAGGAUAGCAGGAAGGUCAUGGCUCCUAACAGCUGAUUGGUAUUCACAUGAGGAAGGUGAGUGUUGUAUCAACCAGUGUGUUGUGCAUCAGCCUUUCUGUUCUAAGAUUUGGCUGCCUUCAGAAGUUAGUUAUCUUUCCAGUGGAGGGACAGAGGCAUUGCUGGAUCCGGAUCAGUUGAAUGCAUUGCAGUGAUAGCAAGCUCUUGGUUCCUGGCAUGGAGUUUCUCUCUUCAGCCACACUCCAGUGCUGACCCAGCUGUAUGCUGUUACAAUAUUUUUAUUACAGUCUUUUUAUAUACUGUGGAUAUAUAUUGUGUUUUCUGUUUUGCUCCUUUUUAAAAAACACUUUUGAAGCUGAAUGUACUUAACUGACCACACAAAGAACUGAAACUCUGGAAGGCAGGAAGUGGAGGGAUCUGUGUCAGAGCUAUGUAUUAUUCCUGACUCUGCAGGAUUACAUCAACCCAGUGGUCCUACCUGGGUCACUUUUGUAUAACACUUGUAAGUUAAUGGGGUACCUAGUUCUUCCGCUAAUGCCUCUUCAGCUGUGUUCAUCAUAAUUUCCUCAAUUCAGCCUUUGGGAAGGGAUUGAAGAGGCAAAAAAUAGGUAAUAGAGUAGGGAGCAACAAUGGGAAGAAAAUGAGUCCUGCAGAUGAAGAUGCUUAGAAGAAUUACUGUGUUUUCAAAGUUCAUCCUAACUUAAUCGCAUACCGCAAUCACAGUAGAUAUAGAAAUGUAUGUACAGUCGUACAGAAUGUGUGUGUAUAUAUAUACAUAUGUAAAAGAUAUAAAAAUAUAUACAGCAGUAAACAGAAAGAUGAA